RNAcentral lists this transfer RNA (71 nucleotides) under Stegodyphus mimosarum. It matches the Rfam family "tRNA". Rfam says of the family: Transfer RNA (tRNA) molecules are approximately 80 nucleotides in length. The record is from Rfam by way of RNAcentral. Lineage: Eukaryota; Metazoa; Arthropoda; Arachnida; Araneae; Eresidae.
GGCUUCGUGGUGUAACGAUAGCACACUCGGCGCGCAUUCGAGAGGUCCAGGUUCGAAUCCUGGUGAGGGCA